AAGAGCGUGUGUAUUGAACGUGUGUAUUGUACGUGUGCAGCGAGCGUGUGCAGCGAGCGUGUGUAUUGAGCGUGUGCAGCGAGCGUGUGCAGCGAGCGUGUGUAUUGAACGUGUGUAUUGAACAUGUGCAGCGAGUGUGUGCAGCGAGCGUGUGUAUUGAGCGUGUGUAGCGAGCGUGUGCAGCGAGCGUGUGCAGCGAGCGUGUGUAUUGAGCGUGUGUAUUGAGCGUGUGCAGCGAGCGUGUGUAUUGAACGUGUGUAGCGAGCGUGUGUAUUGAGCGUGUGUAGCGAGCGUGUGUAUUGAACGUGUGUAUUGAACGUGUGUAACGAGCGUGUGUAUUGAACGUGUGUAUUGAACGUGUGUAUUGAACGUGUGUAGCGAGCGUGUGCAGCGAGCGUGUGUAUUGAACGUGUGUAUUGAACGUGUGUAGCGAGCGUGUGUAGCGAGCGUGUGUAUUGAGCGUGUGCAGCGAGCGUGUGUAGUGAGCGUGUGUAUUGAACGUGUGUAGCGAGCGUGUGUAGCGAGCGUGUGUAACGAGCGUGUGUAUUGAACGUGUGUAUUGAACGUGUGUAGCGAGCGUGUGUAGCGAGCGUGUGUAUUGAACGUGUGUAGCGAGCGUGUGUACGGAGCGUGUGCAGCGAACGUGUGUAAUCUGGGGUUCACUGUUUCGGACGUUCAAACUGUGGCGUAUCACCAUGUCAUAUAGCUCAUAUUUAUAGACACACACAUAUGACACACAGCUCCUCAGCAGGUGCUUGUAUUUUCAGGAAGGUUCCUCAACCUAAUGAGUCACCUCUGUGUGUGUGUGUGUGUGUGUGUGUGUGUGUGUGUGUGUUUUAUAUAUCUUCCAAAGCAAAUCUUCAGGAAAUUAGACGUGGCAUUAAUUAGAGGUGGCAUUAAAUUGAAGAGUGAAGAAGAAAACCAAGCUGUCCC
This is a long non-coding RNA of Ictalurus punctatus (channel catfish), 933 nucleotides long. Lineage: Eukaryota; Metazoa; Chordata; Actinopteri; Siluriformes; Ictaluridae. The record is from Ensembl.